GCGCCCUAGGCGCUCCCCCUUAGGGAAGUAUUCUCCCCUUCCGUCUUCAUCUUUCCUUCGUUGAUCGGAGCGACGAGUCGUAAGUUUCAUCGCUCUUCGAGCCUUUUCUUUGUUCUCCGGAGAUUUCAACCGAUAGAACUCGGAGAGGCUCACUCUCGUCAAGAGAUUGACUUCGCCUUCUGCGAGGUUUAGAAGAAACUUUAUCCGACCGCUGAGUAAACAAUUUUGAACCUAUUUGUCGCACGUCCGCUAUCGGUGCUAGGCCUAAGUUCUCGGGCCCCGGCCUCGAACAAAGGCAGUGGAGUUUCAAGCAGCGGAGUUUUAGUGGCUUGAAGGACCCGUUCCCGCUCACGUCCUAUGGGCUCCGGCUCCGGACAAAGCAGGACUAUUUUCGGUUUACAAUAGGGUCCGAUCCCCCUUGUUGUUCUAUGGGCCCCGGCCCCGAACAGAGGCGGCGAUCUUAAACUACUUCCGGCGUCCUCGCUCGCGUCCUAUGGGCUCCGGCUCCGGACAGAGCAGGACUAUUUUCGGUUUACAAUAGGGCCCGAUCCCCCUUGUUGUUCUAUGGGCCCCGGCCCCGAGCAGAGGCGGCGAUCUUAAGCUACUUCAGGCGUCCGCGCUCACGUCCUAUGGGCUCCGGCUCCGGACAGAGCAGGACUAUUUUCGGUUUGCAAUAGGGCCCGAUCCCCCUUGUUGUUCUAUGGGCUCCGGCCCCGAGCAGAGGCGGCGAUCUUAAGCUACUUCCGGCGUCCCCGCUCGCGUCUUGGGAGCUGCGGCUCCAAACGACGCAGCGCGGUCUUAGACAGUCACAAGGGCUAUUCAAUAAGCCAAACUGUCCGAUCCCCCUUGUUGUUCUAUGGGCCCCGGCCCCGAACAGAGGCGGCGAUCUCAAGCUACAUCCAGUGCCCCCACUCGCGUCUUGGGAGCUCCGGCUCCGGACAACGUGGCGCGUUCUUGAACAGCCUCAAGGGCCACACUUAGCACCUUUAUCCCUUUCGUUCGACAACGGAGAUCAGUGCGGCGGUAAUCGUUUCUAACCGAUAUGUGACUUUCUUGGGCUUCUCAGAUGUCAACCGCCGAGAUCGUGGAGCUCCAACGAACGGUGGCGAACAUCGCUACUUCGGUAGCGGUGCUCACCAACCGCCUCCCUCCGUUAGCCACGGAGGAUGUCGAACUCCGACAUAGUGAGCGGAGCAACUCGCCAGACCUGGACCCUUUGGGUCCCGCUGACGAGCCCCAUGCCUGGUUGGGGAGACCGACGGAGGGCCGUCCCCGGGAGGUGGACCCUGCCCUCCUCGACUUCCUCAAAGAGCACUGGGGCCCCGAAGGGCGCGCGGAGCGGUGCAGGGCGGCCCUGACGAGCUUCCCGCGACCGCGGCUCCCCUUCGCCACAGUGCCGGAGUUAAAUCCGGAAAUGAAGGCCCUGGCGAAGGAGAGGAGCCGCCGUCCAGAGGGUGGCUCGGAAGGGCCCGCCAACGUCGCUGCCCGGGACCAGGCACUCCGAGAAAGCCAAGACGGAGUGGCCGCUGCUAUGGGGCCACUGGUUGGCCUAUUAGAGAUUGGCCUCACGGAGGAGGCCAUUGAUAGAAAGACGGUGGCUGACCACGUGGGGGCAGCUACCGCCCAUCUCGGGCGGCUCUUCGCGUCGCUCUCCCGCGAGCGCCGGGAGGGGGUGAUUGCACGAGUGGCCCCAGAUCUCCGCCAGAUGGUGGCCCAUGACGGCGGGGACGAGGGAUCCCCACUGCUGUUUGGAGAGGGCUUCCUGGGGCAGCUGCGAACGCGGAACGAGACCAUCAAGGUCCUCCGGGAAGCCCGCCAACCGCCCCCUCCCGCCGCGGAGCCAGCAGCCAAGAGGUCCCGCAGCUCGGCUGCCCCAGGGACCAGUGCCCAGAGCCGGAGUGUGGGCCGGCAGCCCUUUCACGGGGGGCCCCCUUCCCGAGGCUACACGAGGGGGGCCUACCUCCGCCAGGGACAUCGAGGCAACGGGACACGCGGCAGGACUUAGCGUGGUGGAUCCGAGCACUGAGGAAGACCCCAAGGGACCAGAUCAAGACACCCCCAGUAGUACAGACGAUACAGUCGGACAGCUCGCUGAAGGGGUGGGGAGCAUGCUCGGAGGGGUGGACGAUCGGGCAUCACUGGACACCACUCCAAUCCACUUGGCACAUCAAUGCCCUGGAGCUGAUGGCAGCCUUCCUGGCCCUUCAGCCCCAGUAACGACUGGUCCUGCUCCGGACCUACCUCCUGCCCCGCCUCUUCCCUUGGUUGGUCCCGGGUCGCUGGUCCUGCGGCCUCCUGAAAAAGCUGGACACCAGGGUCAAAGCCUCCACGCCGGCCUGGCUCGACCUCCCCCACGACACACCACUGGGGUACUUCCAUGCCCCGGUGGGGGAGGGUGGGCUAGGAGUGGUGUCCUUGCGGGCCUUAAUACCAUCAAUGCGCCUGCUGCGACUGGACGGGCUGCGGUUCUCCGACCAUCCAGGGUGUGCUCCGGCCUUGGAGCUGCCCCUCCUGGCUGGCUUCCGCCGGAGAGCGCUGGCGGCCUGCUGCUACCAGGGACAGAAGCUCCUCAACAAGAAGUUGGUCCAAAAGAUGUGGACCGAUCUCCUGCACUGAAGUAACGACAGGGCCGCCUUGCGCGACUCCGGCGAAGUCCCGGGAGCACACCGCUGGGUGUCUGAGGGGACCCGUCUCCUGCGUGAACGACAAUUUAUGAACCUGAUCAAGCUCCGAAUAAACGCCAUGCCAACCCUUGAAAGGACCAGUCGAGGCCGUGGUGUGGACGUUUCCUGUCAGGCCGGCUGCCGAGCUCCAGGGAGCCUGGGACUUGUCCUCCAGUGCUGCCGCAGGGGACACCGUGGUAGGGUGAAGAGGCACAACCUCGCCCGCUACGUGUGUAACUGCCUGAAACAGCUUGGAUGGAUGGUCCUCUGGGAGUCGCACUUCCCUCUGCCCGACGGGACACUGAAGCCCGACUUGGUCGCCUUCAAGGAGCAAGACGCCCUUAUCCUGGACGCCCAGGUCGUAGGAACGGGCAUGGGUCUCUGCUUCCUGCACCAUCAGAAGGUGGCCGAAUACUUGGGGCCACUACUGCAACUCUCAGCUCGAGCCGGACGGAGCAGCACUCUACUAACCUCCACCAUCACCCUCAACUUCAGGGGCUGUGUGGUCUGCAGAGAGUGCCCGGGACCUCCUUAGUCUCGGGUUGACGCAAAACGACCUGAAGCUCGUGCGAAGGCAGCGAAGGUCUGACAGGAACGUGCGAACAUUUCUCGGCGAAGGCAGCGAAGGUCAGCACACGAGACCUCUCUUGCCGAGGCGACGCAAGCGGACACGACCGGUCGACUGCUCGCGUCGCAUUCUCAUGUUUAAACAAAUCUAAAAUGUUACUCUGGACCAAAAAAACUUGUUUUUUUCUCAAGUUACAGUUACAGUGUCUGAAAUAAAAAUUGUGACUAUGUUGGUGGCGUUCCAAGCGCGAUAUGCUUGGGCUUUUUCGUCGCGGUGGUGAAACGCUAUUCUAGAACUAGGGAGUUUUAGACAACGUAUGCAAUUUUAGCACACGCUAACGCUAGAUUUAGCGCUUGCGUUAGCGCACGCUACGCAAGAGUUUUAGAAUAACGUUUCUCCGCCGUGACGCAAAAGCCCAAGCAUCUCGCGCUUGCAACGCCACCAAGAUAGUCAAUUUUUAUUUUCACAAACGAAAUGCUGUAACUUUCCUGCCCAGCAUUCCUUCCAGAAACUUCUCUUUCCUAGAAAUUCAAUCACUUUUCUCCGGCCUCCUUUUUAUGAAAGAUUUCACUUCAGCAAACUUUCCCUUGUCGUUUGUUUUGACAACAGGAAUUCAAAAUUCAUUCAGUGGACUUCCUCAGUAUUUCUGCAUGAUGGGCAGGAAGCAAAGGGUGACUACACCAAGCAAUACCCAGAUUUUGGAAUGACUGGCUUGUUUUUAUAAGCUCUGAACCCAAUGACACUGAAACCCCCCAAAACUCGUAUUUUUGUGUACCACGAAUGAAAGCUACAAAAAGUGCAGAAUAUGUGGUAAAAAAAUAAAUUUCAGAAAAGCCCUCCCAUUUUGCACAAACAUAAACUUCGCAAAUGCAGGGCCGUACACAUGGGUGACCAAAAUGGCAACUGGUGAGACAACCGGAAAAUGCCGGAAAAAGUGCCCACCCCACUUUUACUGAAAACUGGGAUAAUCUUGACAUGGGUGCUUGUCCAGUCAAACUGGGCACUUAAUGUAUAAUUUGCUAAAUACCCAAGUUUGUUUUAAAAAUGUUAAUAGUGGGCACUUCCAGAAUAUUUUACGAUAUGUCUCCAGCAGCAAGAUGCGAAAUUUGCCCCCUUGGGAAUGAAGUUGUGAAAGCAGGUUUAUACUGGAGCAUCCCAGCAUGAAGUGCAACAGUCUCUCUCCAGCACGGAGAGAGACACUGCCACGUUUGGGCAGCCCCAAAAUAUUAACGAGGGUUGGUUUCUUCUCACUUGCCUUCUCUGUCACUGUCCGUGGGUCUUACUCAUUUCUUACUGCACACUAUUAUUUUCAAACAAAGUAGGGCAAAGCUGCAUAAGCUUGACGACAAAGGAGAGAAUUGUGCAUUGGUGAGGCUGAACUCGGGCAGCACAGUCAACGAGUAAAACACAACAAACAACCCUCAGUAAAACUUUCUUUUCGGUGAGAUUGAACUGAUCGGGUGAAGGAGUGUUUGGUGUACAUGACUUGCAUCGACGCCAUAUCGGCUGCUGUUUUGGUGACAGUGCGUGUACGUUCAACAGCAUGCAUUUUGCAGCACCAAAUUUGUUUUUCUUGGCCAGAAGCAGGAACGAGCACUAGCAUGGC
This 4837-nucleotide unclassified non-coding RNA is filed under the name Ixodes scapularis (black-legged tick). RNAcentral describes it as "uncharacterized LOC121833742, transcript variant X1". The record is from RNAcentral. Lineage: Eukaryota; Metazoa; Arthropoda; Arachnida; Ixodida; Ixodidae.